Molecule: long non-coding RNA, 502 nt
Filed under: Zonotrichia albicollis (white-throated sparrow)
Lineage: Eukaryota; Metazoa; Chordata; Aves; Passeriformes; Passerellidae
Description: lncRNA (ENSZALG00000002294.1)
Source: RNAcentral
UGAGUUGUAGGAAUAUUUGAAAAAUUAAUUUACAAGAAUGUUUUCCUUUUUAUUUAGUGACAAGAAAAAGAAGAACAAAUAAAGAAGAAUGAACCAUGCAGUAAGCACACAACAUCUAAGGAAGAAAACAGGAACGUUUGCAGCUGCAUGAGGUGCUGUGGUGUGACAUUGAAGCCUGUUUCAGGUGUUCCUGAGGGCUUAAGUUGCUAACUUAAAUCUUUACUAAGUAGUAUGCUUCUGUGAAGAAUGUAUGUAAAAUAAUGGAGAAACUUAGCAAGGACUUACUGCUUUCUGGGGAAGCCUGGAAAACCACAUUGCAUGGCAGUCCAGUAUUGGUGUAUUUGGGUUAACAAUAUCAGACAGCAUCUCCUUUACCUCGAAUGCUUUUGUUUGGACACAAUAGAACAGCAUGGAAACAGAGCAGUAUGUUCAGGUUAGUAAUACAGGAGAGAAUUUCAUAGUGCUGGACUCUAUUUUUGUGUCCUGUGAACCGUCAAAGAUG